RNAcentral lists this ribosomal RNA (465 nucleotides) under Vreelandella stevensii. Its description in RNAcentral is "partial 16S ribosomal RNA". It matches the Rfam family "Bacterial small subunit ribosomal RNA", at positions 338 to 795 of the family's 1533-position model. The record is from RNAcentral. Lineage: Bacteria; Pseudomonadati; Pseudomonadota; Gammaproteobacteria; Oceanospirillales; Halomonadaceae.
CCUACGGGAUGCAGCAGUGGGGAAUAUUGGACAAUGGGGGCAACCCUGAUCCAGCCAUGCCGCGUGUGUGAAGAAGGCCCUCGGGUUGUAAAGCACUUUCAGUGAGGAAGAACGCCUGGUGGUUAAUACCCAUCAGGAAAGACAUCACUCACAGAAGAAGCACCGGCUAACUCCGUGCCAGCAGCCGCGGUAAUACGGAGGGUGCGAGCGUUAAUCGGAAUUACUGGGCGUAAAGCGCGCGUAGGUGGCUUGAUAAGCCGGUUGUGAAAGCCCCGGGCUCAACCUGGGAACGGCAUCCGGAACUGUCAAGCUAGAGUGCAGGAGAGGAAGGUAGAAUUCCCGGUGUAGCGGUGAAAUGCGUAGAGAUCGGGAGGAAUACCAGUGGCGAAGGCGGCCUUCUGGACUGACACUGACACUGAGGUGCGAAAGCGUGGGUAGCAAACAGGAUUAGAUACCCGAGUAGUC